GGUUAACCGAACCGGUUAAUUGGUUAACCGAUUAACCGGUCAAUCUCAACAAAUUGAUUUCUGCAGCUAGGGUUUUCAAAAGAUAGCAGCAGCAGACGCCUUCUUUCCCGUCAGCCUGCCCGCUGCCUUUCCCGUCAGUCGCCGGCGCGGCCAGCGCGGUCCGCGGUGGCUGCCAAUAUAGGGAGAUGAUAGAGAGAGAGAGAGAGACAGAGACAGAGACAGAGAGAGGUUGAGAGGCAGAGAGAGAUCGAUAGGGAAAAAGAGAGAUGAGAGGGGGGGCUUACCUGAGGUGGCUGAGGCAGGGAGGACGACAGGGAGACGUUCAGGCGGCGGCAGUAGCAUCGGCGGUGGCAGAGUUCAUCGGAGAAGGGGAACUGAAGGCGAAAAUUUAGAGAACCCUAGGUAGCUUUAAUUUGAGGAAUUGGGGAAAGAGAGAAGAUAUAAAGGAGGGGGAAGGAGAGGCGCGACCUCGCCACGCCGGAGGCGGCGAGAACCGGCGACGUCCGCCGGGGAAGGAAACGGCCCAAAGAGAAGCCCAAUACCCCAUUCCCUUUCUUCAACCUCGCUGAUACACUGAUACACACACCCUCAAACGGAUCUCUCUCUCUCUCUCACCAAAAUCCGCCCCUCCUCCCUCAGAAAUCCACCGCUGCGGAAGCUCGCCGGAGCAACGGC
Molecule: long non-coding RNA, 675 nt
Filed under: Salvia miltiorrhiza (redroot sage)
Lineage: Eukaryota; Viridiplantae; Streptophyta; Magnoliopsida; Lamiales; Lamiaceae
Description: long non-coding RNA (SMIL_LNC006184)
Source: RNAcentral